This 116-nucleotide ribosomal RNA is filed under the name Esox lucius (northern pike). Lineage: Eukaryota; Metazoa; Chordata; Actinopteri; Esociformes; Esocidae. The record is from RNAcentral.
GCUUACGGCCACACCUCCCUGAGCACGCCCGAUCUCGUCUGAUCUCGGAAGCUAAGCAGGGUCGGGCCGGUAGUACUGGAUGGGAGACGCCUUGGAAAUACCAGGUGCUGUAAGCC